GUGCUCGCUUCCGCAGCACAUAUUCUAAAAUUGGAACAAUACAAAGAAGAUUAGCAUGGCCCCUACGCAAGGAUGACAAAAAAAAUAAAAUGAUAAAUGCAUGUUUC
Molecule: small nuclear RNA, 107 nt
Filed under: Microtus ochrogaster (prairie vole)
Lineage: Eukaryota; Metazoa; Chordata; Mammalia; Rodentia; Cricetidae
Source: RNAcentral